AUUGAACGCUGGCGGCAGGCCUAACACAUGCAAGUCGAGCGGAUGAAGGGAGCUUGCUCCUGGAUUCAGCGGCGGACGGGUGAGUAAUGCCUAGGAAUCUGCCUGUUAGUGGGGGAUAACGUCCGGAAACGGGCGCUAAUACCGCAUACGUCCUGAGGGAGAAAGUGGGGGAUCUUCGGACCUCACGCUAUCAGAUGAGCCUAGGUCGGAUUAGCUAGUUGGUGGGGUAAAGGCCUACCAAGGCGACGAUCCGUAACUGGUCUGAGAGGAUGAUCAGUCACACUGGAACUGAGACACGGUCCAGACUCCUACGGGAGGCAGCAGUGGGGAAUAUUGGACAAUGGGCGAAAGCCUGAUCCAGCCAUGCCGCGUGUGUGAAGAAGGUCUUCGGAUUGUAAAGCACUUUAAGUUGGGAGGAAGGGCAGUAAGUUAAUACCUUGCUGUUUUGACGGUACCAACAGAAUAAGCACCGGCUAACUUCGUG
RNAcentral lists this ribosomal RNA (484 nucleotides) under uncultured bacterium. RNAcentral describes it as "partial 16S ribosomal RNA". It matches the Rfam family "Bacterial small subunit ribosomal RNA", at positions 30 to 507 of the family's 1533-position model. The record is from RNAcentral.